Molecule: ribosomal RNA, 253 nt
Filed under: uncultured bacterium
Lineage: Bacteria
Description: partial 16S ribosomal RNA
Rfam family: Bacterial small subunit ribosomal RNA
Source: RNAcentral
UACAGAGGUGGCAAGCGUUGUUCGGAAUCACUGGGCGUAAAGGGCGCGUAGGCGGCCAUUCAAGUCGGAGGUGAAAGCCCAGGGCUCAACCCUGGAAUUGCCUUCGAUACUGUUUGGCUAGAGACCGGAAGAGGUAAGUGGAACUGCGAGUGUAGAGGUGAAAUUCGUAGAUAUUCGCAAGAACACCAGUGGCGAAGGCGGCUUACUGGUCCGGUUCUGACGCUGAGGCGCGAAAGCGUGGGGAGCAAACAGG